AAAACCGCUGCGAACUAAC
This 19-nucleotide small nuclear RNA is filed under the name Arabidopsis thaliana (thale cress). Its description in RNAcentral is "snRNA_17095". Lineage: Eukaryota; Viridiplantae; Streptophyta; Magnoliopsida; Brassicales; Brassicaceae. The record is from RNAcentral.